UAGGGAAUCUUCGGCAAUGGGGGGAACCCUGACCGAGCAACGCCGCGUGAGUGAAGAAGGUUUUCGGAUCGUAAAGCUCUGUUGUUAAGGAAGAACGAGUGUGAGAAUGGAAAGUUCAUGCUGUGACGGUACUUAACCAGAAAGGGACGGCUAACUACGUGCCAGCAGCCGCGGUAAUACGUAGGUCCCGAGCGUUGUCCGGAUUUAUUGGGCGUAAAGCGAGCGCAGGCGGUUAGAUAAGUCUGAAGUUAAAGGCAGUGGCUCAACCAUUGUAGGCUUUGGAAACUGUUUAACUUGAGUGCAGAAGGGGAGAGUGGAAUUCCAUGUGUAGCGGUGAAAUGCGUAGAUAUAUGGAGGAACACCGGUGGCGAAAGCGGCUCUCUGGUCUGUAACUUACGCUGAGGCUCGAAAGCGUGGGGAGCGAACAGG
This 429-nucleotide ribosomal RNA is filed under the name Bacteroidota bacterium. RNAcentral's name for it is "Bacteroidetes bacterium partial 16S ribosomal RNA". It matches the Rfam family "Bacterial small subunit ribosomal RNA", at positions 355 to 776 of the family's 1533-position model. Lineage: Bacteria; Pseudomonadati; Bacteroidota. The record is from RNAcentral.